AUUGAACGCUAGCGGGAUGCUUUACACAUGCAAGUCGAACGGCAGCGCGGACUUCGGUCUGGCGGCGAGUGGCGAACGGGUGAGUAAUGUAUCGGAACGUGCCCAGUAGCGGGGGAUAACUACGCGAAAGCGUAGCUAAUACCGCAUACGCCCUACGGGGGAAAGCAGGGGAUCGUAAGACCUUGCACUAUUGGGGCGGCCGAUAUCGGAUUAGCUAGUUGGUGAGGUAACGGCUCACCAAGGCGACGAUCCGUAGCUGGUUUGAGAGGACGACCAGCCACACUGGGACUGAGACACGGCCCAGACUCCUACGGGAGGCAGCAGUGGGGAAUUUUGGACAAUGGGGGCAACCCUGAUCCAGCCAUCCCGCGUGUGCGAUGAAGGCCUUCGGGUUGUAAAGCACUUUUGGCAGGAAAGAAACGUCGCGGGCUAAUACCCCGUGGAACUGACGGUACCUGCAGAAUAAGCACCGGCUAACUACGU
RNAcentral lists this ribosomal RNA (483 nucleotides) under uncultured bacterium. RNAcentral describes it as "partial 16S ribosomal RNA". It matches the Rfam family "Bacterial small subunit ribosomal RNA", at positions 30 to 506 of the family's 1533-position model. The record is from RNAcentral.